Molecule: long non-coding RNA, 6184 nt
Organism: Hemibagrus wyckioides
Lineage: Eukaryota; Metazoa; Chordata; Actinopteri; Siluriformes; Bagridae
Exons: 5
Source: RefSeq, a predicted model, not a curated record
CUGCCACUUCCUGUCACUUAACCUAAGUACCUAAAGAACACACAGCCAAACUUCAAUAAGCUUGAAAGCAUGAUAUAUUUGCAGCAAAAUACAUUCCACUACCGGUGGGACAGAUGUGUCACCUAACUGCAAUAGUCCUGCAUGUGUAAAACUGGGUGUCAGCAAUGUUCGUCUCAAGGCACAGCUUCUGUUGUCUCAAACUGAAAAUAGCUUUGUACUUGUUGCCUUGGAGCCACACGCUUAACCACGGCUUUGAAUGUUGCUGUUUGAGCUGCUGAGUCAUGUGUAGUAGGACGCUGCUCUUAUCUCCAGUCAGCCAGGAGGACUUUCACAGGCAGUUGGUUUGUGUGAGUGAGGAAACAUGGAUGAUAUUGCUGCAGGAUUACCUGCUCUGGUGUACUGGUAUGGAGGUGUGGAGUCGGUCCACUCCAUAGGCCAGAGGCCAGGCAGAGGGAAUUCAAAUGAGGGCAUGAUUCAGCAGACUGUACUCCGGCUCCAAUCAACCCUACCAGAGCUGAUCAGCGGCUUCCAAAACAGAGAGAUACCAACAAAUCCCACUGACUCAGCAUAAAUGCUUGUGUCUGAGAGAAAAAAAAUGUCAUUGCAUCCAGCAUACUUAAGCACAGAUUUAAGAAAGGACAAAGCAUGAAUGAAGAAUAAAUUAAUACAUUACGGAACACUGAACAUAGGUACUGAAAUUUGGUAUUUCACAGGUAAGUGAAUAUGAUGUUUUUUGUUCUGACUAGCAUGUCACUGGCUAGCUGUCUAAUCAGACAUCGAUCAGCAACAGACAUUUAAUUUUAAUGCCAUCAAAUAUCCAUGUCAGAAACACUACUAAUGUUUAGAAAUGUAUUUUUCAUUUUAUAGAUAACAGUAUAUGAAUAAGUGUGGAAGUCAUAAACUAAAAAGGGGAAACACAUGAAUGUCAAAGAUGGCUAUAGUUUUGUUUUUUUGUUUUUUAAAUGCUUUUAUUUAAUGAGUAAGUGAUUUUUGUGUUUGUUUACACUGUAAGAUUUUGCAGCCCAGGGAAUUAACCAAUACUGUACAGCUUUCCAACCCUGAAAUACCCCCUGUCCCACACAUUUUAGUGUUCUCCUGUUCUAACACCCCUUUCAACUCAGGAAGAGCUGUUAAUUACCUGAGUAAUUCAAUCAGGUGUAUUUGGAAAACAAUAAAAAUGUGUAGGAUGCGGGUAUUCCAGGGUUGGAAACCUGUGCAGUACAUGUUUAUUUUACUUUUACAUUUAAUUUGAGUGGUUGUAAUUUUUUUAAAGGGGCUCUCUUCGGAUCACUCUCUGAUUAAGAAAAUCUACCAGAGGGAGAAACUGGAACAGGAGAACUUAUAGGUUAUAUUAUUACCAGUGUAUAUGCUGUUCUGUUGAACAGUGCUGUGUAAAUCCCCAUCCCUGAUUCCUGUUAUUUAACUUAAACAAGUAACCAUGCAUUCAUUAUUGUAGAAAACACAAACCCUUUACAUUCCGAAUAAUUUACAUGAACUCUACAGUAAAAGAGGCGCCUAUAUAUCUUAAUAUAUAUAUUUAUAUACAGAAUAAACAGUAUUAGUUUAUUAAGAACAUUGUACUCUAUUUGUAGAGGUAGCAAUUUGUAUUUUUUACAGACCUACAUAUUGUAGCAGUAUAUUACUCAAAAAAAAACAAAACACACAGCUUCAUUUCUACAUUUAUAAGAGCUAUAGGAUGUCUUUUUUGGAUGUAUUUCACUCCAGACCAGCUGCAGUAUCGUACUUUUAACACAUUUAAUACCGGACAACAGCACUGUGAUUCUCGAUUGUGAUCAGAAAGAGUAGAGAAUAGUACAAUGUUCAGGACAUGCUGUUUUUGGAACUUUCACACAUUACACUGUCGUUGAUUAGUUUCCUAUAACAUCACACUCCAUUGUGUAUUAUUCUUUACAUAUUGUUUUGAACAUUGUACUUUUCACUGGUAAAAUAUCAUCAAUAUAAUAGUAUAAUGUAUCGUUGUAGAUGAGCUACAUUUCUGAUAAAAAGGUCUAAAAUCUUCCUUAUAAAAUAACUCCAGAAAGCAUCAUAAAUCAAGAAAAGUGGAUUAGUAUAAAAUAAAAUGAACUAAAAUAAACAGUGAGACCAAGCCUUGCAAUUAUAAUGUCUUAUUUUAUUUUUUAACUUCCCUUUAUUGUAAACCUGUCUGAUGUCAAUUAAUAAACAAACCAUCCAGACAACUAGAAUAUAUGUUACUGCAGUGGUAUGGGUUUUGACAUGUAGUGACUGUUGUUUCGAAACUGUUGUUUUGCCUCCAAACCAUACCCAGGCCAGUAAAACGUCCAUGGCCCCUGUGUGGACGUUAGUUAUCUUCUAACCACAUCUCCAUCUCUGGAAAUGGUGUGGACAGGGCUGUUCUAUCCACGGCUCUGCUCUCUAACUAACAGACAGAAACAGCAAGCUAAGCAUGCUACUGGAGUGUGCUGACGUCGAUAAUACACACACUAAAAUUAGUAAAGGGGCCUCUUUUUAACACAUCAUUCCUACACAUGCUUUAGUAGCUUUAGUAUACAGAUGAAGAAUGAUUGAACAAAUUAAUUUACUACUGAAUAAAACUUUUAUUGUGCUCUGUUCUGCUAUGAAGUGUAAGUUUAGAUAUAAACUCCAUAUCAGUUUGAAAUGAUUCCAUUUACUACCGCCCAUUUUAUCUUUGAAAAGCUAAAACUUUGGUGGAGGGAACUCAUCCUUUAGAUUAAAGAUAUGUUUGGGUGCAAGAAAUGAGUGAAAUCCUGAGGGGUUUGUAGAACAGAAAUGAAGGUUACAGGGGGGAAACAGGAAACCAGCACGUUCCUAUUUCCUGUCAACAGGUGAAGCUACAUUGCCUUUUCUCGUUUAUUCUCCAACCACAGUUCUUGGGGUGUAGACUAUUUCAGAAAGUCUUUUUAAGAAACAGCAGAUAUUUCUUCAUAGUUUACCUUCUGCUGUAUAAAUACCUGAGAGAGAAUAAAACAGCAGCAAAGUUUAGCUGCAUUGUUGCAACAUUUUGUUAUUGCAAAUGAUUGAGUAAAUUCAUUGAGGAAGUCAUAAUAUGUAAAGAAGCACUUGAGAGAACAAUGUGCAGGCAUUAUACUUUGAUGCACACACACACGCCGCAUACAUACGAAAGCAUACAACUAUGAAAUAUUCUUCCAGAUUCACAAAAUGUCUCAUCUGAAUCAAAGGAAAUUAUGCUAAUAAAGCAUCUCAUUAUUCUGAACUAACAGAGAACCAGUCUGCGCAAUCACAUCAUUACUGAUCUAUUCAUAAAUACAGACUAGAUUUCUUGAAAAGCAACAUUUUUUACUCCUCCACUUUGUGGCUAUUGUACUUUUGUGCAAUGAGACUAUGAAUAAAUGGGAGGUGUAGGAGUUUUAGGUUGAAGGAAAGGAUUGCUCGGUGGGACAGUGAUGAUCAUUCUGGACAGAGGGGCCUGCCGACCAUGGGAUGAUGGCGUUGAAGUGCUCCUACAAAUUACACAGAACACCCACAUUUAGUUGAGGUCAAAACAGCAGGAUAACAAGUCUGAAUGAUAAACACAUUACCUCUCAAUCUUUUAACCAUUAAUUACAAUUAAUGAAUCAGCUGCAUGGCUAGUGAGAGGAAGACAUUUACCUACUCCAAAUAUUAAACUGUAUUAAGAGUUAAAAGAGAACAAUAGUUCAUUUUAACAAGUCACUUGCAAAGCCUAGAGGAACCAAAACAAGAAUUCUUGUUAUAAGCGGAGUUAAGAGGAAGCUCUUAAAGGUGCUAACUGGUCCUCUUUUUCUGCUAUAAGGGAAAGCUGGGAGGGUUGCUUUAUCAGCAGAGGAAACAGAUUUCAGAGGGCGAGUCUCUCCAGGAAAAUGGAUCUGGGUCAAGCGAAAACCACGAUUACCACCAGCAGCUAGAACAGCUCAGCUCUGGAAGUGGCCAUCUGUGGAAGGCUUCUCCAAAAGCCGGUAAACCAGGUCUUCCGAGACCCAGUUAGGAAACACGUUUUCAAAAAAAAAAAACAACAACAAAAAAAACAGUCCCUGGGUGAGGAGUUUGGUUUUCCUCUAGUGCCUCUCUUACACAUUGCCUCCUCCUUCUUCCUUUCUACUCAAGCUGCACAUGGCUCAAUCCUACUCAUUCUGAAAGCUGAGGACGUUUUACCGUUGAUGCUGACACUGAAAGGGAGGGAGGCUGUUGACCUGACCUACACCAAGUUGGUGCCACACUUUAACAUUAAUGCUCAUAGUGGUACUUUUUGCAGUUCCUCAUUUUAAUGAUUUACAAGUUGAAAAGCAGUUAUCUUCAUCUCCUUAUUCCACACAUUUAAGCAUGCUUUGUGGAGAAAUCACCUUGUCAACGCUUGCGCUUAAAUCAUCUCUUGGUUCCUUAAAUUUACUCUUUGACAUCUCAGACCUCUCAGAUAAAGAAGCUAGACCAAACGUUGAAAGGUUGUAAAUUUAAGCCACAGUAUUAUGUUUUAUACCAUAAGGAACAUGAGGGAGUGUUAUACAAAAACCAAGAGCUGCAGAAUUCACAGUGGGGGGGUAGUGAAACUGACUACCCCGGGCCUCUAGGUCAGAGGUUUCAAACUGUUUUCAGUAGAUCCCAGUACCAAUUUAUUUCUAAACAUAAUCUAACUAUUCUAUUCUAUUCUAUUCUAUUCUAUUCUAUUCUAUUCUAUUCUAUUCUAUUCUAUUCUAUUAUUCUAUUUUAGGCUCAUUAUUAAAAUGUGCACAGUAGUAUUUUGCUAAUAUUAAGGUUUGGAUUAAACCCUUUCAGAUCAUGUGAUCAGUUAAACAGGAUAAUAAGUAUAUUGUGGGUUGCCAUUUCUAAGUCUGCAAGAAAGUUAAAGAACAAAUGAUGGACCCCCACAGACCCCACUGUGAGAAAAACAGACCUAGAUAAAAAAAAUAAAUAAAAAAAAGACCCAGAAGGGAACAGGACUAAACUGUUUGCAAACAGAAAUGGCCCAGCAGAGCCCUAUAUAUGCAGAGAAAUUCCUAAAGAACCCAAGCAGGGCACUAUUCUGACAAAGGCAAAGAGACAGUCCUAAAUAAGAGAAAGGAAAUAGAGAAAAAGAAAGAGGUAGAGAGGAAAUGGCCGAUGAUGGCUCAAAUCAUCCACUAUUCAUUAUUUACUGUGUGUGAUUAUUAUGAUCAAAUAUGAUAAUAAUAUAGUGUGCUUAUAAUAUCAAAUGAUGAUGAAUUUUAAAAUAGUAAUAACUGUGUGUCUCAUCAGGAAAAGGUGUAACAACUCCAAAAGCACUUAUUGUGUCAGCCCUCUAAAAGAAAAGCUGUAUGAAUGUGCUGCUUUGCUGCCACCUGCUGAGCUGACACAGUGUACACAAAUAAAAUGAAAAUGAACUAACUUUGGUAAUCUGUUUGAUAAUUCAUAUAAAAUAGCACAAUGACAAGCUAAAAGGAUUAAUUCAUGUUCAAUUAAAGAUGCUAUAUCCUGUAAAGCUUUGAAAACAUAGUAUCAGGUACAUAGUAUCUUUAUCUAAGAAUAUAUAUGAAUGUUCUUAUAAAAAAUGCUGUCAUGUUUGAAACAGGUAAUGAAUAAAUAUAUAUGCAAGAUAUAAAGCAAAUAAAAUAACUGAAAACACUGUAUACUGUUUAGCACUUUUAACAAUGGACAUUAUAGAAAUAUAUAAAUUCAGAAUAAACGUUUUACAUUUAUGAAUUUAAAAAUAUAUCCCAAAUGAGCAAGCCAGAGAGGAAAAACAAUUUUGGGAAGAAAAAACUCCCUGAGAUGAUAUUACACCUUGAGAGGAACUGGAAUCUAAAGGAAACACAUCCUAAUCUGUGUCACUGGGUAGUGUGAAUUGCCUUAUAAACUGUGUACUAUACUAUACAAUUAAAAAAAAUGUUAUGAUGAGUUAUGGAGUUAAGGAGGUUUAUGUAAUUACUUGUUUGUGACUGCACCCCACUGUAGAUCUGACCAUACAUACAUACACACGUUUUAAAAGCCAUAGUAAUCAUACUUCUUCCAACAAUACAUAAUAUUAGAACUUUUACUUGUUUUAAAUAUCUGUAAUGUCCUAUUGGUCAUAUUGAAAAUAUAUAUAGAUUAGACCUGAUAUUCUGGUAUCACAUUGAAAUCAUGUGUCGAUUGACAAUUUUUUAUCCUAAAAGAAUGUGUUACAAUAUGUAUGUGCCUUACCUUGUAGCCUGAUGAGUGAGUAUAGAAGAAGGCUGGCUGGUGGCUGCGGUGU